Molecule: long non-coding RNA, 101 nt
Organism: Myotis davidii
Lineage: Eukaryota; Metazoa; Chordata; Mammalia; Chiroptera; Vespertilionidae
Exons: 3
Source: RefSeq, a predicted model, not a curated record
GUUGUCAUCUUUUUAUUUGAUAAUCUAAGGGAAAAGAGGUCAGUGCCCCUGACUAAAUAGUCGGGUAUUGCAGGUUUUAAAUAUUCUUGUGGCACAUUGAU